GAUGAACGCUGGCGGCGUGCUUAACACAUGCAAGUCGAACGAUGAAGCCCAGCUUGCUGGGUGGAUUAGUGGCGAACGGGUGAGUAACACGUGAGUAACCUGCCCUUGACUCUGGGAUAAGCCUGGGAAACUGGGUCUAAUACUGGAUAUGACUUCUCAUCGCAUGGUGGGGGGUGGAAAGUUUUAUUGGUCUUGGAUGGACUCGCGGCCUAUCAGCUUGUUGGUGAGGUAAUGGCUCACCAAGGCGACGACGGGUAGCCGGCCUGAGAGGGUGACCGGCCACACUGGGACUGAGACACGGCCCAGACUCCUACGGGAGGCAGCAGUGGGGAAUAUUGCACAAUGGGCGCAAGCCUGAUGCAGCGACGCCGCGUGAGGGAUGACGGCCUUCGGGUUGUAAACCUCUUUCAGUAGGGAAGAAGCGAGAGUGACGGUACCUGCAGAAGAAGCGCCGGCUAACUACGUG
This 466-nucleotide ribosomal RNA is filed under the name uncultured bacterium. RNAcentral describes it as "partial 16S ribosomal RNA". It matches the Rfam family "Bacterial small subunit ribosomal RNA", at positions 28 to 507 of the family's 1533-position model. The record is from RNAcentral.